RNAcentral lists this ribosomal RNA (119 nucleotides) under Helicoverpa zea (corn earworm). The record is from RNAcentral. Lineage: Eukaryota; Metazoa; Arthropoda; Insecta; Lepidoptera; Noctuidae.
ACCAACAUCCAUACCACGUUGAAUACACCGGUUCUCGUCCGAUCACCGAAGUUAAGCUACAUCGGGCGCGGUCAGUACUUGGAUGGGUGACCGCCUGGGAACACCGCGUGACGUUGGCU